GUCGUGGCCCUCCGCGAUUGGCCAGCGUCGCGUGACGCACGGCCGAGCUCGGCGUCCAUUGGUCCGGCCUGCCCGGCGGGGCGUUUCAGGACCGUGGCUAUGGAGUCCGGCGUGGCAGCGGCAAUCCCUGGCCAAAGUGUGCCUUCAGCCAAAAGCAGAACUGGAAACAUCCUAAGUGGGCCGGUAACGAGGCUAGCUCUGUCGACUAGUUCAAGACCCCUGAGCGCUUUGGGCCUGAGGUUCCUCAGCUUCCAAGUGAAAGGCUUCGACUUGGCAUUCUAAGAGACAAUCUCUGUGACCAUCAGUUUCCUCAUCUGUAAAACUGGCAUCAUGAUAACUUUGAAGGUUUUAUUCUGGGCAUAUAUAUGUUUGGAGGUGUGUGUAUGUUUGGGGAACCUUUGAAUUUGGAAGUACCAAGGUGAGGAGAGACUUAUGGAAUUUAGAAGCUUUGGCAGGAACUAAGCACUGUGUUUCUUAGAAUGAGCAGCUCUUUCUACUUGAAAGGCUGAGGCAGAGGAUCGCUUGAUCCCAGGGAUUUGAAGCUGGCUGCAGUGAGCUAUGAUCACACCACUACUCUCCAGCCUAGGUGACACAGCAAGACUCUGUAAAAAAUGAAGAAGAAGAAAGAAGAAGAAGAAGAAGAAGAAGAAGAAGAGGAAGAGGAAGAGGAAGAAGAAGAAGAAGAAGAAGAAGAAGAAGAAGAAGAAGAAGAAGAAGAAGAAGAAGAAGAAGAAGAACAGGCCAUGUGAGGUUGCCACACCUGUAAUCCUAGCACAUUGGGAGGCUGAGGUGGGAAGAUCACUUGAGGUCAGGAGUUCGAGACCAGUCUGGCCAACAUGGUGAAACCCUGUCUCUAAUAAAAAUACAAAAAUUAGUCAGGUAUGGUAAUGGGUGCCUGUAGUCCCAGCUACGUGGGAGGCUGAGGCAGCAGAAUCACUUGAACCUGGGUGGCAGAGGUUGCAGUGAACCAAGAUCAUGCCACUGUACUCCAGCCUGGGUGACAGAGUAAGACUCUAUCUCAAAAACAACAACAACAAACAAACAAAAAUAGUUCCUUAAGGUGAGAGACAAAUUUAUCAAAUAAAAUGUAAAAGCCA
This 1097-nucleotide long non-coding RNA is filed under the name Homo sapiens (human). Its description in RNAcentral is "PREDICTED lncRNA (TCONS_00176856)". Lineage: Eukaryota; Metazoa; Chordata; Mammalia; Primates; Hominidae. The record is from RNAcentral.